RNAcentral lists this ribosomal RNA (253 nucleotides) under uncultured bacterium. RNAcentral's name for it is "partial 16S ribosomal RNA". It matches the Rfam family "Bacterial small subunit ribosomal RNA", at positions 524 to 776 of the family's 1533-position model. The record is from RNAcentral.
UACGAAGGGGGCUAGCGUUGCUCGGAAUCACUGGGCGUAAAGCGCACGUAGGCGGCUUUUUAAGUCAGGGGUGAAAUCCUGGAGCUCAACUCCAGAACUGCCUUUGAUACUGAAGAUCUUGAGUGCGGGAGAGGUGAGUGGAACUGCGAGUGUAGAGGUGAAAUUCGUAGAUAUUCGCAAGAACACCAGUGGCGAAGGCGGCUCACUGGCCCGAUACUGACGCUGAGGCACGAAAGCGUGGGGAGCAAACAGG